GGGUGUGAGGGCAGUCCGGCCACAACAUAUAUUAUCCCAUUGAUGCCCAAAGGGUGAUUCUGUUGAUCUGACUCACUGGGUAGGUGUCCCCUUCUUCUCUCUACUCCAAUAGUGUAGGACCCAAUAGAGGAAGACCAUUCUUUGGUCAAGAAUAUACAAGCAGCUAUGCUCCUCUGUUAGAACCUUCAAACAGGAUUUCAAGGCCCAUUUAAAGACUGACCUAGAUCUAUCAAUAUCAGAAUCUUUGGGCAGCUCUUGCUUCAAAUGCAUCU
RNAcentral lists this small nuclear RNA (272 nucleotides) under Jaculus jaculus (lesser Egyptian jerboa). Its description in RNAcentral is "7SK RNA (ENSJJAG00000001017.1)". It matches the Rfam family "7SK RNA". Rfam says of the family: 7SK was discovered as an abundant small nuclear RNA in the mid-70s but a possible function has only recently been suggested. Two independent studies have found that 7SK RNA binds the CDK9/cyclin T complex (known as elongation factor P-TEFb). Lineage: Eukaryota; Metazoa; Chordata; Mammalia; Rodentia; Dipodidae. The record is from RNAcentral.